RNAcentral lists this ribosomal RNA (495 nucleotides) under Isotoma viridis. Its description in RNAcentral is "partial 16S ribosomal RNA". It matches the Rfam family "Bacterial large subunit ribosomal RNA", at positions 1829 to 2600 of the family's 2925-position model. The record is from RNAcentral. Lineage: Eukaryota; Metazoa; Arthropoda; Collembola; Entomobryomorpha; Isotomidae.
UUCUUUACAGUUAUUUUUUAAAGUAAGGCCUGCCCACUGUUUUAUAAAGGGCCGCGGUAUUUUGACCGUGCAAAGGUAGCAUAAUCAUUAGUCCCUUAAUUAGGGAAUGGAAUGAAUGGCUAAACGUAGUUUUGCUUUAUUUGUAAAAGUUGUUGAAUUUAAAUUCUAAGUGAAAAUGCUUAGGUUAGCUGAUAGACGAUAAGACCCUAUAGAUUUUUAUUUUAGGCUGGUUUGAUUUGUUAGAGUUUUAUUCAAAAUAAGUUUAAAAAUUUUGUUGGGGCAACAAAAGAAUAUAAUUAACUUCUUUCGUUUAAUUUUUAUUAAAUUGUUAAUCUUUUAGUAAAAAAGUUAAAAAAAGUUACCUUAGGGAUAACAGCGUAAUUAAAAUUGAGAGCCCGUAUCGACAUUUUAGUUUGCGACCUCGAUGUUGAAUUAAGAUUUCUGAAUGGGGCAGCAUCUGUUGAAGAUAGUCUGUUCGACUAAAAAUUUCUUACA